Molecule: ribosomal RNA, 395 nt
Filed under: uncultured bacterium
Lineage: Bacteria
Description: bacterial SSU rRNA
Rfam family: Bacterial small subunit ribosomal RNA
Source: RNAcentral
GGAAUCUUAGACAAUGGGCGCAAGCCUGAUCUAGCCAUGCCGCGUGAGCGAUGAAGGCCUUAGGGUUGUAAAGCUCUUUCACCGGGGAAGAUAAUGACGGUACCCGGAGAAGAAGCCCCGGCUACCUCCGUGCCAGCAGCCGCGGUAAUACGGAGGGGGCUAGCGUUGUUCGGAAUUACUGGGCGUAAAGCGCGCGUAGGCGGUUUGUUAAGUCGGAUGUGAAAGCCCCGGGCUCAACCUGGGAAUUGCACACGAUACUGGCCGACUAGAGUACGAGAGAGGGAGGUAGAAUUCCACGUGUAGCGGUGAAAUGCGUAGAUAUGUGGAGGAAUACCGGUGGCGAAGGCGGCCUCCUGGCUCGAUACUGACGCUGAGGUGCGAAAGCGUGGGGAGCA